GAUGAACGCUGGCGGCGUGCAUAACACAUUCAAGUCGAACGGUGAUGAGGACUUCGGUCCUCUGAUCAGUGGCGGACGGGUGAGUAACGCGUGAGCAACCUGCCCUAUAUUGCGGGAUAACAACCGGAAACAGUUGCUAAUACCGCAUGACGUAUUCGGAUCGCAUGUUCUGAAUACCAAAGAAUUUUGCUCUGAGAUGGACUCGCGUCCGAUUAGGUAGUUGGUGAGGUAACGGCCCACCAAGCCGACGAUCAGUAGCCGGCCUGAGAGGGUGAACGGCCACAUUGGGACUGAGACACGGCCCAAACUCCUACGGGAGGCAGCAGUGGGGAAUAUUGCACAAUGGGGGAAACCCUGAUGCAGCGACGCCGCGUGAGUGAAGAAGUAUUUCGGUAUGUAAAGCUCUAUCAGCAAGGAAGAAAAUGACGGUACUUGACUAAGAAGCCCCGGCUAACUACGUG
Molecule: ribosomal RNA, 461 nt
Filed under: uncultured bacterium
Lineage: Bacteria
Description: bacterial SSU rRNA
Rfam family: Bacterial small subunit ribosomal RNA
Source: RNAcentral